CUGAAAGUAGUCAAGAAUAAAAAUUCACCAUCAACCAGAAAGCUACAGAGAGCAAAAUCAAAUAUAAGUUGAACUGAUUCUGGGGCAGAUAAGGCUAAUAAUUUGUUCUGCUAUGUUCUGACUUUCAUGAACAAGAUAAAGAUAUAGGAAAAUGUUUGGGAUCAGGGGCUUGGGCUCAAUGACCUCAGGGGUCCCCUCCAACAGCUACAGUUCUGUGAUUUUGUACACCAAACUGGGGUAACACAAGACUCCAAUUGUUUCAGCUAUCGAAGAUCUUAAAAGUAAAUGUAAUACAUACUAUUUGUAUGGUAAAUUGUUGAUCACAGACUGAACCUCUGAUUAACCACCUGAGGCAAGCAAUGAGUCAGCUGUGGGAGCACAGGUGAAGGGAAUUUCAGCUGUGCUACUUGAAGGGCUGCACCCCUCCCAGGUCUUAUUUAAGGACUGACUACCACUAAGGCAGGAUCUUUUUCUCUGGAGAUUGUUUCUUCAUGGAGUAUACUGCAAACCUUCAAUAUUGGCUGCAUUUAUUGCUUCUACCUGCUCCAUUUCCUGUGUUUAUGAAGAAUUCACUCCGAUUUAUCUCCGGAAAAAGUAGUGUGGAUUGUGACAUGGAUUCGUGCUGUUGGAAGUAGGGAGGACCUCUUAUAAGAUUUUUUGUUUGGAUUAAACAAAGUGAAACAGACCAAAGGACGAUCACUAUUAAAUCACAACCAAGCAAUCUCCAACAAAAUCUUAAGUCCUAAGCUGACUGCUUUUACAAGACUGUUUGCUAAUCCUCCACAUUUCUCAAGUUAUCAGCAAAUGCCACGUA
Molecule: non-coding RNA, 814 nt
Organism: Coturnix japonica (Japanese quail)
Lineage: Eukaryota; Metazoa; Chordata; Aves; Galliformes; Phasianidae
Source: RefSeq, a predicted model, not a curated record